Molecule: long non-coding RNA, 973 nt
Organism: Solenopsis invicta (red fire ant)
Lineage: Eukaryota; Metazoa; Arthropoda; Insecta; Hymenoptera; Formicidae
Exons: 9
Source: RefSeq, a predicted model, not a curated record
CCAUAUACAUAUUUCCAAUAGGUAACGCGCCAUGUCCACGCUAAUACUCGAUUCGAUGCGGCUUUACAAUGUGCACUGAAAUGAUUCUUGCGAGAAACCAUCAAGAAUUAAAAAAUAAAAUAUGAAUAGUUUGGAACACUUGGGUUGUUGUAACCUGAAAAUAUUUGGCGCACUGCAGCAAAAUAAUAUUUUAAGAACGCGAUAGCGGAGCGGGCAAACGCGUUGCAGAUCGGAGCGAGAGCGAGCGGCGUCGCAAAUCCAUUAAAGAACGCGGCGGACGCGGAACGUAUCGAGACCGAAACGAGCGGCGUCGCAGUUCAAUUAACAGGACGCGGCGGACGCGAUGCGAUUCGGAGUCGGAGCAAGUGGCGACGCGUGCGACGCGAUCUCAUGAAACAGUACGCGAUGAACGCUUUUAUGCGGGACGCUUUUAUGGGAUGCGAAACGGAGUGGCUCCGGAAGGGAAAUCGCGGAUUUAAUUGAACGCGAUGAACGCUUUUACAGAACGGAGUGGCUAUAAUAUGAGAAUAACAUCGCGAUUUUAAUUGAACGUGAUGUGAGACGGACCUGCUCUAAAAGGAUUCAUUCUGAAAACUUGUGAGGAAAGAGGUUUGACAAUUCCAAGGGAGAAGGAGGCCUAAGACAGGUAUCAGGCAUCGGUGGAGCAACUUAGCGAAUCAUCGUAGCUACAUUGCUGAUAACUCCACUGUUGCGCAUCGGUCGAAAUUUUCGGAUUAUACAUACGUAAGUAUGGAUAUUUGAUAAUUAUGCUUCUAAACGAAAUUAUAUUUAAUAAUUUUAAAUAUAAUACUAAUUAAUUUAAUUAUAUUAUUUAGUAUUAUUUGUACAGUACGCUGCAAAAUUGCAGUAGUAUUAUCAUACACAUGUUAAUAUCAUAUACUGAAAUUUUGUCUCUUUAUCUAUGUAUUUGGACAUUACUUUUGAAUAUAUUGUCACAUUUUGUGAUAUUAAA